Molecule: long non-coding RNA, 790 nt
Organism: Gadus morhua (Atlantic cod)
Lineage: Eukaryota; Metazoa; Chordata; Actinopteri; Gadiformes; Gadidae
Exons: 2
Source: RefSeq, a predicted model, not a curated record
ACUAAUGGUCAUUGAUUCGGGGUAAUGUCAACCAUUGCGCUAAAGCUCUUUACCGACGCUGCACGUUAUUCUGCACGUUAACUCAUUCUGAGUUCAAUCUCUAGUCUAGAUGGUGUUCGAUUACUUUUGUUUUGCCUCGUGCAGCCUGUAGGGGAAUAGCGUGCUUGCCGUCUCCUCGGCCAUUUCAACUUUGGACUUCAACUUUCUAUAAAGUGUCUCCUCUGCACGGUCCAGGGCCUCCAUGGUGUGGAGGGGCAGCUCCAAGGGCUCCAAGGAGGCCAGUCCCACAGACACAGUCUGUCCACACUUGCAGGAGUGGACGUAUUGCCUGAAUUCCUCCCGCAGUUCCUUCACCUCCUUGGACAACUCCGUCACCGCAGUCAGCAGUUUCUGCAUAGCCACAUCUAUUGACAAAGAAAAUAAUAACAUUUGAAUGUAAAAGCUGACGCCCUUUUACUUAAAAAUUUCAGAAAGUGUUGAACAACUUUUGAAGAGUUAUAUAUAUUUAAGCAACGCCAUUGGUUUAAGCUAAUUGUUGAUAGAUGGUACAUCCUUCAAUGAUUCAAAGAAUUGAGGAAACAUUUACACAUGAAUGAAAGCCUAGAAAUAGCCUUAGAACAUAACAUUCCUGUACUUGCCUUUUAACGUUCUCCAUUGGCUCGACCGUCGGUCUCGAGUCCCUCCUCGCGUGCGGAGGCCACAUCCAAUCUAAUGCACAAAAGUAUUUUAUGUGGAAAAAAUGACUUAUGCCUAUUGUUGGGGAAAAUAAACAUUCAUUCAUGUUUAUUGA